UCAGAAACUCAAAGGAAUUGACGGGGCCCGCACAAGCGGUGGAGCAUGUGGUUUAAUUCGAAGCAACGCGAAGAACCUUACCAGGCCUUGACAUGCAGAGAACUUUCCAGAGAUGGAUUGGUGCCUUCGGGAACUCUGACACAGGUGCUGCAUGGCUGUCGUCAGCUCGUGUCGUGAGGUGUCGGGUUAAGUCCCAUAACGAGCGCAACCCCUACCUUUAGUUGCCAUCAGGUUAAGCUGGGGACUCUAAAGGAACUGCCUACGCAAGUAGUGAGGAAGGCGGGGAUGACGUCAAAUCAGCACGGCCCUUACGUCCAGGGCUACACACGUGCUACAAUGGCCGAUACAGAGGGCAGCUACCUGGUGACAGGAUGCAAAUCUCCAAAGUCGGUCUCAGUUCGGAUCGGAGUCUGCAACCCGACUCCGUGAAGUUGGAUUCGCUAGUAAUCGCGCAUCAGCCAUGGCGCGGUGAAUACGUUCCCGGGCCUU
Molecule: ribosomal RNA, 489 nt
Filed under: uncultured Anaerolineaceae bacterium
Lineage: Bacteria; Bacillati; Chloroflexota; Anaerolineae; Anaerolineales; Anaerolineaceae
Description: bacterial SSU rRNA
Rfam family: Bacterial small subunit ribosomal RNA
Source: RNAcentral